RNAcentral lists this ribosomal RNA (406 nucleotides) under uncultured bacterium. RNAcentral's name for it is "partial 16S ribosomal RNA". It matches the Rfam family "Bacterial small subunit ribosomal RNA", at positions 30 to 526 of the family's 1533-position model. The record is from RNAcentral.
AUUGAACGCUGGCGGCAGGCCUAACACAUGCAAGUCGAACGAGUGGCGGACGGGUGAGUAAUGUCUGGGAAACUUCCUGAUGGAGGGGGAUAACUACUGGAAACGGUAGCUAAUACCGCAUACCAUCAGAUGUGCCCAGAUGGGAUUAGCUAGUUGGUGUGGUAACGGCUCACCAAGGCGACGAUCCCUAGCUGGUCUGAGAGGAUGACGAGUCACACUGGAACUGAGACAAGGUCCAGACUCCUACGUGAGGCAGCAGUGGGGAAGAUUGCACAAUGGGAGCAAGCCUGAUGCAGCCAUGCCGCGUGUAGGAAGAAGGCCUUCGGGUGGUAAAGGACUUUCAGCGGGGAGGCGUUACCCGCAGAAGAAGCACCGGCUAACUCCGUGCCAGCAGCCGCGGUAAUAC